This is a long non-coding RNA of Mytilus californianus (California mussel), 913 nucleotides long. RefSeq lists it as uncharacterized. Lineage: Eukaryota; Metazoa; Mollusca; Bivalvia; Mytilida; Mytilidae. The transcript is spliced from 3 exons. The record is from RefSeq and is a predicted model, not a curated record.
UUUCAUAUUUACAUUUUUUGUUUACCUGACUACAAUUUGAAAUGUUAAUAAAAUGUACGUAUUGAAGGUUGAAAAAACUCAUAAAAGAUACCAGUCUUGUUUUGGUUAAGUUAUAUUCAUUUUAUAUUCAGAAACAAGCAAAUAAAAGGAGUUCCGAUAUCAUUAGGAAGAUUUGCGGUUAAAACGUUCAAACAUCGUCCUUUGUGAAAUUGUUUAACAACAUGUUUCAUUGUUGAUGAUUCGUGCUCCUAGUUUAAUCCGGUACCUACUACAUUCCUUGUUUGGAAAAUCCAAAGCAUAUACAGUUGUUUUUGCACAGCUAAAAUAGUCAUGGAAAGUGUACCUAUCCAAACGAAAAGUAAAAUACUAAUUCAAAAGGAGUGUACAUUUUUGAGGCAGGAAAGUCAGAUGUCCUUUUCUCCAACAUUUUUCUAACUUUAUGUAGGUUGAUUGAAAGCUAUAUAACUAAAAUGCUCGCAAAUAGUUUUAACUCUCAGCUUGCUUUAUCUACAAAAUGAAGUUAUUACCGACAGGAAUCUUGAUAUUUGCUGUUUUUCAACUGGUCUCUCAAAGCAUGGCACAAUGUGAUUUCUGCAUUAAUUAUGUUGAUCUUGAAAUAUGUGGCAUGAAAAAAGCAAGGAAGUGUCCUCAUUUACAGAAAAAGGCUAAAAGUUAUGAGCAAUGCGUUGAACGUUCAGAGAGACGUGAGCAACAGUACAUUUAUGAAACAGUUAGGGAAUGAUUGAAACAACAGGACAGACAUUUAAAUGCAGAUCAAAACUCGAUAUUUCCAUACUUGCGAACUACUUCGAUACUUUAAAACUGAUGUGGGUAUCAAUGACAAUGACUUACAGAUACAGUUUAAAUAUCAACAUACAUUUUGUAAUUUAUUUGAAUAAAUGAAUCUAACGUU